This 471-nucleotide ribosomal RNA is filed under the name uncultured Sulfuritalea sp. Its description in RNAcentral is "bacterial SSU rRNA". It matches the Rfam family "Bacterial small subunit ribosomal RNA", at positions 521 to 991 of the family's 1533-position model. The record is from RNAcentral. Lineage: Bacteria; Pseudomonadati; Pseudomonadota; Betaproteobacteria; Nitrosomonadales; Sterolibacteriaceae.
UAAUACGUAGGGUGCGAGCGUUAAUCGGAAUUACUGGGCGUAAAGUGUGCGCAGGCGGCGUCACAAGUCGAGUGUGAAAUCCCCGGGCUUAACUUGGGAAUUGCGCUCGAAACUACGGUGCUGGAGUGUGGCAGAGGAAGGUGGAAUUCCACGUGUAGCGGUGAAAUGCGUAGAGAUGUGGAGGAACACCGAUGGCGAAGGCAGCCUUCUGGGCCAACACUGACGCUCAUGCACGAAAGCGUGGGAGCAAACAGGAUUAGAUACCCUGGUAGUCCACGCCCUAAACGAUGAUGACUAGUUGUUGGGGGAGUUAAAUCCCUUAGUAACGCAGCUAACGCGUGAAGUCAUCCGCCUGGGGAGUACGGUCGCAAGAUUAAAACUCAAAGGAAUUGACGGGGGCCCGCACAAGCGGUGGAUGAUGUGGUUUAAUUCGAUGCAACGCGAAAAACCUUACCUACCCUUGACAUGUCA